AGAGGCAGCUGCUGGAACAAGAAUGACCCUCAGAGAAGCAUCCUUGAGCCUGCCAAUGGGGAAAUCCUUCUAACCUGUGACAUCACAGGCCAAUCAUCUGUCGGGGCCCUGGAGCACUGCAGUUGGGUCUUCGUACCACCGAGACCAGAAUCCUGGGCUAGGGUUUGGCCUGGUCAGCGCUGACUCCACAUGGGCUCCAGGCUCCUCUGCUGUGUGGCCCUCUGCCUCCUGGGAGCAGGCCCCUUGGACACGGCGGUUUCCCAGACUCCCAAAUACCUCGUCACACGGGUGGGAAAUAAGAUGUCCCUAAAAUGUGAACAAAAUCUGAGCCAUAAUACCAUGUACUGGUAUAAGCAAGACUCCAAGCAAUUGCUGAAAAUCAUGUUUUCCUACAGUAAUAAGGAAGUCAUUGUAAACGAAACAAUUCCAAUCCGUUUCUCACCUGAAUCUCCUGACAAUGCUCAUUUAAACCUUCAUGUCGACUCCCUGGAGCCCGGCGACUCUGCUGUGUAUUUCUGUGCCAGCAGCAAAGACACAGCCCUGCAAAGUCACUGCCUCCCUGUGCACAAACCCCCUGGCCCAGCCAGGAAGCUGUGGGGACAACAUGUUCACCCGAUCCUGAGGCUCCAAUCACCCCAUGAGACAUCUGACUUGAGUUUCAGUCUUUAG
This is a non-coding RNA of Diceros bicornis minor, 669 nucleotides long. The record is from the annotation of a RefSeq genome assembly. NCBI's taxonomy places the organism in Eukaryota, Metazoa, Chordata, Mammalia, Perissodactyla, Rhinocerotidae.